RNAcentral lists this ribosomal RNA (421 nucleotides) under uncultured bacterium. RNAcentral describes it as "bacterial SSU rRNA". It matches the Rfam family "Bacterial small subunit ribosomal RNA", at positions 355 to 774 of the family's 1533-position model. The record is from RNAcentral.
UAAGGAAUAUUGGUCAAUGGACGCAAGUCUGAACCAGCCAUGCCGCGCGAAGGAUGAAGGUCCUCUGGAUUGUAAACUUCUUUUAUCUGGGACGAAAACGGGAUUUUUAUCUCAAUUGACGGUACCAGAGGAAUAAGCACCGGCUAACUCCGUGCCAGCAGCCGCGGUAAUACGGAGGGUGCGAGCGUUAUCCGGAUUUACUGGGUUUAAAGGGUGCGUAGGUGGGCUUAUAAGUCAGUGGUGAAAUCUCCGAGCUUAACUUGGAAACUGCCGUUGAUACUAUAGGUCUUGAAUUAUCUGGAGGUAAGCGGAAUAUGUCAUGUAGCGGUGAAAUGCUUAGAUAUGACAUAGAACACCAAUUGCGAAGGCAGCUUACUACAUAUAAAUUGACGCUGAGGCACGAAAGCGUGGGGAUCAAACA